RNAcentral lists this ribosomal RNA (1992 nucleotides) under Phocaeicola dorei. Its description in RNAcentral is "Bacteroides dorei partial 23S ribosomal RNA". It matches the Rfam family "Bacterial large subunit ribosomal RNA", at positions 1 to 1999 of the family's 2925-position model. The record is from RNAcentral. Lineage: Bacteria; Pseudomonadati; Bacteroidota; Bacteroidia; Bacteroidales; Bacteroidaceae.
AUAAGGAAAGUAAACAAGGGCGCAUGGCGGAUGCCUUGGCUCUCGGAGGCGAUGAAGGACGUGAUAAGCUGCGAUAAGCUCCGGGGAGGUGCAAAUAACCUUUGAUCCGGGGAUUUCCGAAUGGGACAACCCGGCGUGUUGAAGACACGCCACCUGAUCAUUUCAGGAGCUAACGCAGGGAACUGAAACAUCUUAGUACCUGCAGGAAAAGAAAAUAACAAUGAUUCCCCCAGUAGUGGCGAGCGAACGGGGAAUAGCCCAAACCGUUCAUGUUACGGCAUGAUCGGGGUUGUAGGACUACGUCGUUGCAUGAAGACAUCGGAGAAGAACUUUCUGGAAAGAAAGACCAUAGAGCAUGACAGUUGCGUAUUCGUAUGUUGUCGAAGCAUAGUAGUAUCCUGAGUAGCGCGGAGCACGAGGAAUUCUGCGUGAAUCUGCCGGGACCAUCCGGUAAGGCUAAAUACUCCCGAGAGACCGAUAGCGAACCAGUACCGUGAGGGAAAGGUGAAAAGCACUUCGAACAGAAGAGUGAAAUAGUUCCUGAAACCGUGCGCCUACAAGCGGUCGGAGCUCAGCAAUGAGUGACGGCGUGCCUUUUGCAUAAUGAACCUACGAGUUGCCUUUGCCGGCAAGGUUAAGUGUGACGACACACGUAUCCGAAGCGAAAGCGAGUCUGAAGAGGGCGUAUAGUCGGCAGUGGCAGACGCGAAACCAAGUGAUCUACCCUUGGCCAGGUUGAAGGCUGGGUAACACCAGCUGGAGGACCGCACCAAUAAGCGUUGAAAAGCUUCUGGAUGAGCUGAGGGUAGGGGUGAAAGGCUAAUCAAACUUGGAGAUAGCUCGUACUCCCCGAAAUGCAUUUAGGUGCAGCCUUGUGGGUUACUGAUGUGAGGUAGAGCGACUGAUAAGAUGCGAGGGCUUCACCGCCUAUCAAGUCUUGACAAACUCCGAAUGCGCAUCAGUUUUACCUCAGGAGUGAGGGCAUGGGUGCUAAGGUCCGUGCCCGAGAGGAGAAGAAUCCGGACCACCUGCUAAGGUCCCGAAAUGACAGCUAAGUUAAACUAACGAAGUCUGACUGCUAAGACAGCUAGGAUGUUGGCUUGGAAGCAGCCAUUCAUUUAAAGAGUGCGUAACAGCUCACUAGUCGAGGAGUCUGGCGUGGAUAAUAAUCGGGUAUUAAGUUGUCUACCGAAGCAGUGGGAUCAUUGAAAUGAUCGGUAGGGGAGCAUUCCAGUCAGCGUCGAAGGCGUACCGCGAGGUAUUCUGGAGCGUCUGGAAAAGCAAAUGUAGGUAUAAGUAACGAUAAAGGGGGCGGGAAACCCCCUCGCCGAAAGACUAAGGUUUCCUGAUCAACGCUAAUCGGAUCAGGGUAAGUCGGGUCCUAAGGCUCAGCCGAAGGGCGAUGCCGAUGGCAGAAACGGUUAAUAUUCCGUUACUACCUCCAGGAGUGAUGUGGAGACGCAGUAGUGACAAUGCCGCCAUCUGACGGAAUAGAUGGUUGAAGGGUGUAGAUGUUGAUCUUGGCAGGCAAAUCCACCAUGAGAAUCGAACCUGAUAGUAUGCCGCGUCCCUCGGGACAAGGCAAUAGUGCAUGUAAUCAUGCUGCCAAGAAAAUCCGCUAAACUAAAUCCUGUAGGUACCCGUACCGUAAACGGACACACGUAGUCGGGAUGAAUAUUCUAAGGCGCUUGAGUGAUUCACGGUUAAGGAACUAGGCAAACUGACCCUGUAACUUCGGGAUAAAGGGUCCCUACCCGGUGACGGGAGGGCGCAGAGAAUAGGUCCAGGCAACUGUUUAACAAAAACACAGGGCUGUGCUAAAUCGAAAGAUCCUGUAUACAGCCUGACACCUGCCCGGUGCUGGAAGGUUAAGAGGAGACGUCAUCGUUGAGAGAAGCGUUGAAUUGAAGCCCCAGUAAACGGCGGCCGUAACUAUAACGGUCCUAAGGUAGCGAAAUUCCUUGUCGGGUAAGUUCCGACCUGCACGAAUGG